GGAAGUAAAAGUCGUAACAAGGUCUCCGUUGGUGAACCAGCGGAGGGAUCAUUACUGA
This 58-nucleotide ribosomal RNA is filed under the name Colletotrichum truncatum. Its description in RNAcentral is "partial 18S ribosomal RNA". It matches the Rfam family "Eukaryotic small subunit ribosomal RNA", at positions 1778 to 1831 of the family's 1831-position model. RNAcentral also lists the same sequence under 3 other names. The record is from RNAcentral. Lineage: Eukaryota; Fungi; Ascomycota; Sordariomycetes; Glomerellales; Glomerellaceae.